GCAUGCGGGCAGCUUCAGACAUGCAAGUCGAACGAGAUCUUCGGAUCUAGUGGCGCACGGGUGAGUAACGCGUGGGAACCUACCUUUCAGUUCGGGAUAACAGUUGGAAACGACUGCUAAUACCGUAUACGCCCUCCGGGGGAAAGGUCAGCCGCUGAAAGAGGGGCCCGCGUCUGAUUAGCUUGUUGGUAGGGUAAAAGCCUACCAAGGCUACGAUCAGUAGCUGGUCUGAGAGGAUGAUCAGCCACACUGGGACUGAGACACGGCCCAGACUCCUACGGGAGGCAGCAGUCGGGAAUAUUGGACAAUGGAGGAAACUCUGAUCCAGCAAUGCCGCGUGUGUGAUGAAGGCCCUAGGGUUGUAAAGCACUUUCAACGGUGAAGAUGAUGACGGUAGCCGUAGAAGAAGCCCCGGCUAACUUCGUGCCAGCAGCCGCGGUAAUACGAAGGGGGCGAGCGUUGUUCGGAAUUAUUGGGCGUAAAGGGCGCGCAGGCGGUUUGGAUAGUUAGACGUGAAAGCCCUGGGCUUAACCUAGGAACUGCGUUUAAUACUGCCAAACUAGAGAACUAGAGAGGAUAGCGGAACUCCCAGUGUAGAGGUGAAAUUCGUAGAUAUUGGGAAGAACAUCAGUGGCGAAAGCGGCUGUCUGGCUAGUUUCUGACGCUGAGGCGCGAAAGCGUGGGGGAGCAAACAGGAUUAGAUACCCUGGUAGUCCACGCCGUAAACGAUGUGUGCUAGAUGUUGGGAAGGGUUAC
Molecule: ribosomal RNA, 756 nt
Filed under: uncultured bacterium
Lineage: Bacteria
Description: bacterial SSU rRNA
Rfam family: Bacterial small subunit ribosomal RNA
Source: RNAcentral